ACAUUUUUACGGCUUUUUGGGGACUUUCCAGGUCGUACAGGCUCACAUUUUCAAGGACUUCUCUAACAUGCACAACGAGAAAGAAAAAAAGAGCACCAAGUUUAAUCUAAGGGACGUCUAAUCAUUUCAACUCUCUGGCGACAUCCGUGCAGUUGAUAAGCAGCGUGAUGUGGUCCACUGAGGGCCUGCCAGGGAGAUAAAGGCCGUGUGCUCCGCUCCCUCUAACUGCCCCCUGCGGAUGUCUUGGCAGAUAAAAGUCGUUUUCAAGCCUCUUCCCUUGUCGUUGUCAGUAUGUAAAAUGCAUCUCCCACCCCAAAUGUGUCCUCUGAUUCAGCCGAAUAGGCACGAUCACCGAUUCCUUUAAUGUUAACUAAAUUGGAAUGACAUCUGUUCACCAAAAACAGCACCCUUCAGCUAUUUGAAUUAGUUUUGUUAAGUUAAGAUAUUCCCCGCAUCAACUGCCAUUGUUAUAUGUACGCGUCAUGUCUUUCUUUUCCCUUGUUUGGAUGCACAAAGCAGCAGCAAUACCCUAAAUUAUACGGGGUAUUAUACAGACUGAGAAAAAAAAAUAAUCUGUGUAACCUUCUGGAAUCGAGUUUGUGCAGCAUCAAAAGAUCAAAAGAUAGGAAUUGCAAAGAGAGCCUCCCUUUAAACAAACAGGAAAUGCACAUAAAAAAAGAUACACACCGGCGCUGCACACACCCUCGCCCUGCAACAUUCACACACACCUCCCUAUACUUCUCAGCCCCUGUUAGCAGUUCUCAGAAUCCUCAGUUAAUAAUUAGAUGAUAAUGAAAAAGGUCUAAGAACAAGCCCCCUUUUCACUCCCCGGGUGGAUUAGCAUGUGAGUGCUAUGCUAAUGCUUUUCCUUCCUUCCGCUCAGUAACCGCAGAAGCACAAAAAGGGACAGGGCACAAAGGAAGGAGAAAAGAAACCCAAUUUAGGAGGAAAUAAAUGAUUAACAAAGAGCAAUUGGCCAUUAUGGAAGAUAAAAAGAGGUGCUUCUCUUAGAAUGAACGUGACAUGGACCUUGAAUAACAAUCCACUCCGUGUAUAAUUAAUUGUAUAUCCCGUAUGGCGUUUAUAUUGUCUUCAAGUCAGGCUCUGUAGAAGCCUGUUUAGGUAAUGGAGACAGACAAGUAGUUUGACAUACAGACAGAAUUAGACAGCAGCGCUGCAGCAGCUGCUGGAUUCAUUUGUAUACACCCCCAACACACACACACACACUGAUCCCCCCCCCCCUCAAACCCCUCAUACAUUUUUAAUAGAAUCUAUUACUUCUGGAUUAGCCGAUAAGAGCUGGCCUGGUUAAAUUCUAUAAUAGUUUGCAUAAUUGGUAUCAGAGCAGCACAUAAGAGAGACCCAGAUUUCUCUCUUCUCCUUCUGUGGAGAAAAAGAAAAGAGAAGGACACAAAGGUCCACAUACAGGAUAACUAAACAACCGGGAGCCACUCUGCAAGAACAUUUCAGGCCUGCGGCUGAUAACAAUGAGCCUCAUUUCCAUUAGGAUUAGCUAAAAUGUAUUACAACUGUGGUAAAAAGCCUUUCCUGUACAACACGUAUGGAAAUACAAUCGCCGGGCAAUAUUCAAACAGAUGUCCAGCGCCUUCGGUUGGGUGUAAAUCCUCCUGCCUUGAUGACUGGCCGUCUGGGGAAAAGAUAUUAACAUUACAGGUUCUACCGUGUAUCGUUUUUGCCAUCACAAGACAGUUGUGUUAAGUCUGUAAAUGCUAAACAAACAGGCAAACAACUCGUAUGUUUGAACAGCCUCUAAAGCAUCUCACACAUAUUUUCUUCACAAUGCAUGUAGAAAUCAAACUAGUUGACGUAUACAAUAUCAAAUAUGGUCUGUCAGUGUUGACUUCCACGCUAUAUUAUAAACUUUCACUAUAUUGAAAUUGUGUGUUUUCCCUGCGUGUUCAACGAAUGUUUUUAUGUGUCUUAUGCUAUUGCUGAUGCAUUUUUUAAUCUGUAUAAUGAUCUAUAUCAAUCAGUAUUUUGUUACCAACUACUUUGAACAGCAUUAUUCACUUGAAUCCUAUAUUGCGUCAAGCUUAACAUUAUUUGGGGGGUGAAAAUGAACGUGUUUUUCAUGUAGAAGCUUGACUGAGACAGGAAUUUCAACAAAAAAGCACGUUUGAAUAUCUUUUUAUCCUCUGUGGCUUCGUGUUUCUGCCCAACAGUGAAAAAAUGUGCAUCACCAUCAAUUGGAGUUUUAACAUCUUUUCACUGCAGCAACAAAUGGUUUCAAACACACGACGGUCCAAAUCCCCGGGAUCAGAGACGUCACGAUUCCUUUCAGCAGCAGCCACAGAGCAGCAGGACGACUCUUUCAUUUGUUUACAAUACAAAUAAUGAAUCAUUUACUAUGGAGCCAUUUUUGUGAGUCUGUCGUUACCAGCGGCGUUGGUAGAACGAUGAUCAUGUCGGUUUACCCACCAUUAUAAAUCAAUAUCAAAUGAUAUAACAACCAACAAUGCAAAUAUUUGUUUGUUGUUCUUCAUUGUUUGAAUAUGCGUUUGUGAAGGCGAUAAUAAGGAUUUUAACUGAUACACAGAUGCUGAGAACUAAUUCCGCCGAGCUGCACAAUCGAGUCUUAUCUUUGUCAACAAGCCUCGGUAAAGAGUAGAAAGCCUUGGACUGACCAAAAGGCGCCCUGGCCCACAGACGGUGCCAAGGUAAAAGAAACACACAGCACGGGGGUGAAGUCUGUGCGAUGCCAAGGUGGCAUUGGACGGUAAACAGAGCCUUAUCUUAUCCUUUUCCCAGGAUGCACGCUGAGCCACACUGUCAGAGAGCCAUGCCGUCCAAUCUUUAGAGAAACCUUGACUUAAAAGAUAACAGAUGGUAAAAGAGUGAGCUGGAGGUUUUGUGGAAACAUGAGCUGUGAGGAAUUUUAAUUCAAUGUCGCUCAACUCAGAUACGGUUUUGAAUCAUUUUUAAGUCUCCUAUUCUGGUCAACUGUUGUUAAAACCAACAAUGACUACACAAUAAGCCAAACCCUCCGUCCUGUGGCCUUUACUGUUACGCUUUCAAGGGUCACUGAUUCCUUCCAGUCAUUAAAAUCUCCAAGCGAACAUGAAACUCAUUAGAAACUGUAGAGAAAAUGCUCCCUGCAAUGUGGGAGAUAACCUAAUGAUACGUGCUCUACCAUGCGUCACCGAAACAUCAAAAUGCUUCUUUGAUCUCUGGACCAACUAAAAAUGUCAUCAUCUCAAAGCCGCUGUGUGGAGGGCAAAUGAUGAUGACGCAUCAGAUGCAAUUUGGAAGGCUUAAUCAUUAACUUAAAGUAAUGACUGAGUGCCGUCAUGUAGACAAAACAGAGAUGACCGGAGCUCCGAAUAAACUUGUCCCCUCCCCAAUGACCUCGGAGGCCCAGUCCUUAACCUCCCACCCUUAACCCCCGUCCCGCUCCCCCUUCAUCCCAUUAGACUGAAAAGACCAAUUAGACAGAUUUCAGGAGACGGUAGGCUGCCCGUAAUUACACAUGACAUCUUUCAGCAGAUAAAAAGGUGAUUAUAAAAGGGCGUACGAGGCAAACUGCGAAGCAUCCAAGCCUUUAGACGUUAUUUCUACGAAACAGAGGUUGGUUCCAUAAUCCACAACGGAAAACCCCCACUGUAGCCUUAACAAGCCUUAAAUAUGAGGUACUUAGUGACAUGGCAGAAAGAGGCAUGACCUUAAUCCGUCCUUGCACCGGCCCGGGUAAUAGUCAUCCAAGAAAAGGUCAUUCUCGUGGAGAGCCGCUUCCUCCAUUCAGUAAUUCGGUCGGCAUGGAGAUUGAGCGAGCCUGGGGAAACUUCACAAUAAAUCAGAGCUCAGCUUCGCUCCCGAGGAGGCAAAGGGAAGCAGGCAGCCAAAUGACAAAUCCCUUCCCUUCGCCGAGUCGGAAUUACUGCUGGGGUGUGAUGCCAGAUCAGAGGGAACCCCCCUUUCCCCCCCCCCCCCCCCGUUCCCUCUCUCAUGGGAUACCUGCACAUUGACUGCUUACAACGCGACGCGAUUUACGAGCCUCCCGAGCAACUGCAGGUCGAUGCGGAGCCCAUUUCAAAUACAACCAAAGUGCGAGUAUGUCAUAAAGACUCGUUACGUAUUACACUCUGUAAUUGAAGAAGAACGGUGCUGUCUAAAAUGAUAUGACAUGAAAAACACGCGGCACAGAGCGGUCACCAGGCCAAGCCGGACCUUUUCUAAUGACUAUACGUGCCGAUACGCUUUACGACGAAAGGGGGAAAUGGCACUAAAACAUUAUAUUACGACACUGGUCGGAAAGCCAAAGCCAUUUGAAUAUGAUUAAAGGCAAUCGUAAGAAGGGAAAGAUAAGCCUAUUCCUGAGAGUCCCAUGCCUCAAGGUGCAAAUAAAUCAAGUGGGGGGUGGGGGGUUGAGGUAUUUUUCUCUUUUGGUAAGAAAACAGCCAGGAGAAAAGAAGGGGGCUUGCAGGCUUUCCUCCUCUGCCUCCGGUGGGAGGCUGUGACAUCCCAUCUCUCUUGGUAAUAAAGGAUCUGGCACAAGCAGAAAAAGAAAAAGAAAAAAAAAGCAUGCGGGGUAGAAUUUCACACCUGGCCAAUAAUCUAUAGGCCCCCUUCUCUGCUGCGUCUAACCUUCAACCUCGGCUGCCACCGGUGCAGUGAGGUGCGAUGAUCCCACCUCCGGCUUCGAGACAAUAGAAAUGGAAACCUUCUGACUCAGCUCCGAAUGACCGAUAAUACACUUCAAAGCACUUCCCGCAUCCACCGAGAUGCUGACAUAUAAAGCGACCUUUACACUGCGCGCAAAUGCCAAAUGGAAAGGAUGAGACUACAAAUUGGAUCAACAACACAGUAGUUUCCAGAAGAAAGAAGAAAAACUACAGAUUGUUGUUGCAAAUGUGCAUUAAUAUUUAACAUACAACUAUUAAACACAUGGAGGUUUUUAAUUCUACCAUUCAAUAAACCAAACUACUCUUAUACAUAGGGAACAUAAUGCCUAACCUCAUAGUUGGCCCGGCCCCCUAUAAAUACGCAUUAGCCAGUAGAAGCACACUGACAUCCAGUAAGGGCGAGACGCUCCUGUCCAUUAGUGCGCACCGGGCAUCUUUCCCCACCUUUCCCCACUUUCUCAUCAUCUUUACCAACACGGAUUAUUUGUCUCACUCUGUUAUUGUCAAUAAGUUACACGGUUACAGUUAAAAAAAAACAAUUCGGCUAGAGUAACACCCCCACACACACACUCUCUCUCACACACACACACACACACACACACACACACACACACACACACACACACACACACACACACACACACACACACACACAGUGCAUUGGAAGAUUAAGCAUGUAAAUGAGAAACAUAAUGCUUACAGAGUUGUGUCUUAUCAUAAGGCUUGUUUUAUCUUUGGUUUUCCGCGGCUGACUGGCUGUUCUCCCGCUCGGAAGGCGUAUUUCCUCCGCAAAAGCAAUCUUGAUGCCACUGAUUUCGCGAAGGCUCCGGAGGUGCAGGCUCAUCCAUCGAUGAAGCCGGCUUCCGCUCACUGCACUCCCGCGACGACAUUCAGCGGUCACGCAGAAAGAUCGCUCCUCCGGUUGGGCUUUUUUUUUCUUUCUCUCUCGCGUAUUUGCCCCGGUCUCAUCUCGGCAGCUCGGACGGGCUGUGUGUGUGUGUGUGUGUGUGUGACGGGUAAUGAGUGAUGUCGGAAUGGAAAUGAGUCCCCUCCAUCUCCCCCCUCCGCCCGCCCCCCCACCGCGCUGUGGAAACCGGCUCUGGACCAAUCAAUCAAGGCCGCAUUUGAAUAUUCCCACGGCUCGGCCAAUCGGAGGGGAGGGAAGGCGGCAUCCGGCGCGACGCUGAACGCGUCCAAGUGGGCGCGCUUGCUGUUUCGCGGAAACAUUUAAAGGGAAAAGACCGUCGUGUGUCGAUCGAAACGCGAACGCAAGCCGAUCGAUAUGAGAAGAAGCUUUUCAUUUUAGAAGAAUAUGAGAAAAAGCUUUUUCCCCCCUGUACAGCAGAUGUUUUCCCAGAGAAGCCGAUGAAGUGUUUAUGAUGCCACAUCGUACGACAGAUCUAAAAGUAAAUCAGCUAAAGUCCCCUCCAACAGUUGUUUUAUUACUAUUUUAGAUGCAUUAACAUGUAGGCACAAUUUCAAAAUAGUCGGUCAACGUUGGCUGUGUACAUUUUUGAAAUAUGUUUAUUUGCAUUAUUACACACGCACCUUUUUUUAGUUUAAAUUUGCACUUUAUACACUUUCCUACUUUGUAUUGCAACUGCUGCAUAGUUUCCCCUCAGGAAAACAGCGUUUCUGCUGGUUACUAUUUUAUACUGCUGCUUAUCCUUCCCAUAGCCAAGCUAAGCCGGUGGAGUAAAAAAUGACAUUACAUCUUCUCAUCUAAUUCUCAACAAGAAAGCAAACAGGCCACGUUUGUUUUCAGGCGUUUUCAUCCUGUGAUGCUGAAUCAGAUUUUAAAGACCCAUUUGUCAAUAUAUAACGCACAAAGCUGCACUCUACAUCUUUUUUUUCUGAUAAAGACAGUUAAGUGCACACCAGGAAACUUAAGCAGACAUACUCCGACCCACUGUGGUCAUGAGAAAGAAUACAUUGUUUUCUUUACAGCUUCCUGAGUGAUUUUUGUAUGAAUUAGUCCUGCAGAUGGCAAAUGAGGUUACUAUGACAACUAAUGUUCUUUUUUUAAAUACUGAAGACGUGGAUGGGUUAUUGUUCUCUAAUUGAUCGCUUGUCGUUGUAAUGGCUAAAUGGUUUAUCAUAAUGGGUCCACAGUCAUGUGCUUUAGAAAUAUCAUGCAAACAUUAUACUGAUGCAAUUUUUGCCAGUCAAAUAAAUGUUCAAAUCUUUAAACUACACGUGUAGUAGUUCCGUUUACUAAAGGAUUAUUCAGAGGUGCUAACCAAACUGCACAACAUCUUAUUGAGAGAGCUGUCAAAUAAAUAGUAAUUAUAGUGUAAUUACAGAGUAGACCAGCAUUACCCCUUGCAUAUUUUCUUUCUUUCUGCUGUAGAAAGGUGUGUGGUUUACAGGUAUCCUUCAGUCUUAAAGGGUUUGCAGUUUUUACAAACUGUUCUAUGUCAUUCAGCGAUGCAGUUUGCUGAUGGUAUUUAAGGAAAAUGUAAUAUUAUUUAGUUUUCUGUCAGAGAGAAAGAUAGAGAGUUGCAAAUGGUGUUCCUAGUGUCGUAUUUUGCUGUGUAAAGCAUGUUUACUAUGAACAUUGUCCAUUCACACAUGCAGAGUUACUAGUAUCUCAUCAAUGUGAACAUCUGUAAACAAGUUAAGCAUGAGAAUAAUAUGUACAUUUUUAAUUAAAACAAAUUGUUGAGGGAAGAUGGGUUUAGAAUGCACACAGUAUGUGUAACUGUUUCCUUCUCUUUUGGCCAUGUCAUCGUGUCCUCAAAUGAUGUCGAGCUCUACCUCUUAAGACGGUUCUCAUCAGACCAGAAUGUACCUGGCAGUGACGCUAAUAAAGAGCUCCAUCUGCGCCUGGCAGGCAGUGGCAAAUGACCCAAUUAAGGUCCGGUGAAGUCUCCUCUUUCACCUAUUGGCAAUGGCUGCUGUCAUCUUCAUCGUGAUGAAAAGCAGAUAGUGCAAAGGUAAUUAAAUACCAGAAGGGACCCGGGGGCAAACCUAAUAACUCCUCGUAACAAGCCAAUAAGAAAGCUUACUUCAACCCAAAGCAUGUGCCUGCUGAAGAGGACCACUUACUGAUAGUCAAUAGGCCUGCAGGUUUCCCGGAGAAGAUUGACCUUGGGGAGCAAUAUCUGCAAUAGCUCGGAGGCAAAUUACAAAAAGCCUCCUGGCCGACCACCGUUUAUCUACCAAAGUGAUCUCUUCUGCUCUAGUCGGAACUGGAUUUCAUGUGAACCCAAAGACUUUGCUUUGCAGGGUAAACAUACCGACAGCAACGUCUCUUGUGGUGUUGCCAUCUGCUGGCAGAGGUAUGGUUUUUGCAGCAAUAUUCUGAGGCUUCGAAGUACGUGCAGUACUGAAC
Gasterosteus aculeatus aculeatus (three-spined stickleback) is the source of this 7974-nucleotide long non-coding RNA. Lineage: Eukaryota; Metazoa; Chordata; Actinopteri; Perciformes; Gasterosteidae. The record is from Ensembl.